This 261-nucleotide ribosomal RNA is filed under the name uncultured bacterium. RNAcentral describes it as "partial 16S ribosomal RNA". It matches the Rfam family "Bacterial small subunit ribosomal RNA", at positions 524 to 776 of the family's 1533-position model. The record is from RNAcentral.
CACGUAGGGUGCGAGCGUUGUCCGGAAUUAUUGGGCGUAAAGAGCUCGUAGGCGGUGUGUCGCGUCGGCCGUGAAAACCUGCAGCUUAACUGUGGGCGUGCGGUCGAUACGGGCAUCACUGGAGUUCGGCAGGGGAGACUGGAAUUCCUGGUGUAGCGGUGAAAAUGCGCAGAUAUCAGGAGGAAACACCCGGUGGCGAAGGCGGGGUCUCUGGGGCCGAUACUGACGCUGAGGAGCGAAAAGCGUGGGGGAGCGAACAGG